RNAcentral lists this ribosomal RNA (429 nucleotides) under Gemmatimonadota bacterium. RNAcentral describes it as "Gemmatimonadetes bacterium partial 16S ribosomal RNA". It matches the Rfam family "Bacterial small subunit ribosomal RNA", at positions 355 to 776 of the family's 1533-position model. Lineage: Bacteria; Pseudomonadati; Gemmatimonadota. The record is from RNAcentral.
UAGGGAAUCUUCGGCAAUGGACGAAAGUCUGACCGAGCAACGCCGCGUGAGUGAAGAAGGUUUUCGGAUCGUAAAACUCUGUUGUUAGAGAAGAACAAGGACGUUAGUAACUGAACGUCCCCUGACGGUAUCUAACCAGAAAGCCACGGCUAACUACGUGCCAGCAGCCGCGGUAAUACGUAGGUGGCAAGCGUUGUCCGGAUUUAUUGGGCGUAAAGCGAGCGCAGGCGGUUUCUUAAGUCUGAUGUGAAAGCCCCCGGCUCAACCGGGGAGGGUCAUUGGAAACUGGGAGGCUUGAGUGCAGAAGAGGAGAGUGGAAUUCCAUGUGUAGCGGUGAAAUGCGUAGAUAUAUGGAGGAACACCAGUGGCGAAGGCGGCUCUCUGGUCUGUAACUGACGCUGAGGCUCGAAAGCGUAGGGAGCAAACAGG